GUUGGGUUCUUUCCCUCGAUGGAGAGCGUUUAAGGAGCAGCAUAAAUUGAGAACAGACAAGGAUGUGGCGGAUAUGCUUCUUGACAGCUAUCUUGCGAUGAAUCGUAUAGUUUGCAAUGCAGAGACGCAAACCGAAACGGUAAUGGAAUCAACGGAUAUGCCGCCAGUUAAAACCUCAACGCCAAGCGCAC
Molecule: long non-coding RNA, 191 nt
Organism: Dendronephthya gigantea
Lineage: Eukaryota; Metazoa; Cnidaria; Anthozoa; Malacalcyonacea; Nephtheidae
Exons: 3
Source: RefSeq, a predicted model, not a curated record